CCUACGGGAGGCAGCAGUGAGGAAUAUUGGUCAAUGGGCGCGAGCCUGAACCAGCCAAGUAGCGUGAAGGAUGACUGCCCUACGGGUUGUAAACUUCUGUUAUCAAGGAAUAAAGUGAGGCACGUGUGCCUUUAUGUAUGUACUUUAUGAAUAAGGAUCGGCUAACUACGUGCCAGCAGCCGCGGUAAGACGGAGGAUCCGAGCGUUAUCCGGAUUUAUUGGGGUUAAAGGGAGCGGAGAUGGGUUGUUAAGUCAGUUGUGAAAGUUUGCGGCUCAACCGUAAAAUUGCAAUUGAUACUGGCAUUCUUGAGUACAGUUGAGGUAGGCGGAAUUCGUGGUGUAGCGGUGAAAUGCUUAGAUAUCACGAAGAACUCCGAUUGCGAAGGCAGCCUACUAAGCUGCCACUGACAUUGAGGCUCGAAAGUGUGGGUAUCAAACAGGAUUAGAUACCCCUGUAGUC
This 460-nucleotide ribosomal RNA is filed under the name uncultured bacterium. Its description in RNAcentral is "partial 16S ribosomal RNA". It matches the Rfam family "Bacterial small subunit ribosomal RNA", at positions 338 to 795 of the family's 1533-position model. The record is from RNAcentral.